UGGUUGAUCGACACUGGGGUUGAACUGCGGCGUAUCCGCGUUGUUGUCGAAGUUCAGGAUCUGCGACAAAAAGAUCACGCCGUUGAGGUCGAGCGACUUGUCGUUCUGCAGUACGUACGCGAGCAUCGCGCCGCGAGUGGUGCCGUAACUUUCGCCGAACAGGUACUUCGGGGAAUUCCAGCGCCCGUGGCGCGACAGGAACUCGACGAUGAAGUUGGCGAACGUGUGCACGUCCUGGUCGACGCCGAAGAAUGCCUUCUCCUUGUCUUCUCCGCGCAGGUGGCCGAACCCCGUGCCGGGC
This 301-nucleotide unclassified non-coding RNA is filed under the name fungal sp. Its description in RNAcentral is "partial internal transcribed spacer region". Lineage: Eukaryota; Fungi. The record is from RNAcentral.